GUAGGUAUAGCUCAGUGAAAGAGCACAUGCUUAGCAUGCAUAGAGGUCCUGGGUUCAAUCCUCAGUACCUCCA
Molecule: transfer RNA, 73 nt
Filed under: Camelus bactrianus (Bactrian camel)
Lineage: Eukaryota; Metazoa; Chordata; Mammalia; Artiodactyla; Camelidae
Also listed under: 2 other names
Rfam family: tRNA
About the family: Transfer RNA (tRNA) molecules are approximately 80 nucleotides in length.
Source: Rfam by way of RNAcentral